This is a long non-coding RNA of Budorcas taxicolor (takin), 167 nucleotides long. RefSeq lists it as uncharacterized. The transcript has 3 exons. The record is from RefSeq and is a predicted model, not a curated record. NCBI's taxonomy places the organism in Eukaryota, Metazoa, Chordata, Mammalia, Artiodactyla, Bovidae.
CCACUAUUUCCGCUCUUUCUCCGAAAGAGACCGCCAUCUCGAACUAGAGACAUCAUAAUGGGCUACAUGAGGACUUUGAAUGGAUGCCGCUCACAUGUAUGGUGAAGGAUUGGCCUGGGCCAAAAAUAUUCAAGACCCUCGGAUUGCAGUAGGUUCCCACUCCCCAU